ACCCUGGUAGUCCAUGCCGUAAACGAUGAGUAUUCGCUUUUGGUCUUUACAAAAUAUCGAUCAGAGGCCAAGCUAACGCGUUAAAUACUCCGCCUGGGGAGUACGGUCGCAAGACUGAAACUCAAAGGAAUUGACGGGGGCUUAUACAAGUGGUGGAGCAUGUGGUUUAAUUCGAUACAACGCGCAAAACCUUACCAACAGGUGCUGCAUGGCUGUCGUCAGCUCGUGUCGUGACGUCAAGUCCUCAUGGCCCUUAUGAGUUGGGCUACACACGUGCUACAAUGGCAAUCACAAUGGGAAGCAAUGCCGUGAGGCGGAGCGAAUCCUCAAAGAUUGUCUCAGUUCGGAUUGUUCUCUGCAACUCGGGAACAUGAAGUUGGAAUCACUAGUAAUCGCGGAUCAGCAUGCCGCGGUGAAUAUGUACUUAGGCCUUGUACAUACCGCCUGUCACACCCUGGGAAUGGAUUUUGCCCGAAGC
This 478-nucleotide ribosomal RNA is filed under the name Coleochaete scutata. Its description in RNAcentral is "small subunit ribosomal RNA". It matches the Rfam family "Bacterial small subunit ribosomal RNA", at positions 784 to 1427 of the family's 1533-position model. The record is from RNAcentral. Lineage: Eukaryota; Viridiplantae; Streptophyta; Coleochaetophyceae; Coleochaetales; Coleochaetaceae.